RNAcentral lists this long non-coding RNA (648 nucleotides) under Anas platyrhynchos platyrhynchos (common mallard). RNAcentral describes it as "lncRNA (ENSAPLG00000029665.1)". Lineage: Eukaryota; Metazoa; Chordata; Aves; Anseriformes; Anatidae. The record is from RNAcentral.
UGGCCAUACAUCAUACAGAUCUGAAGAAGCAACUUAGUGUCACAUCAGCUGAUGAAAUUAAGUUUGUUAUUCCCUGCCCAAAUCUUCCAUCUGGUAGCAAAAGCUCUACAGGGCUGGCAUUUAUCAAGAGAAGACACACAGAACAGCCUUGCAUAAAUAAUGGCACCGGUCCAAGUACAGCUGAGGUGGUUGCCAGCACAACUCCACUGAAGUCAAAGGAAUUGCACCAUGAGUGAGUUUGGACAUUGGCUCGGGUUAUAUAGGAUUUUUACAUGACAAUUUGCAGUAAUACAUCAGCUGUUUAAGGGAGUCAGGUCAGGUUUUGCUUUUUGGUAGAAUUCUGUAUUUGAGCUAUUUCAAAUUAAGGAGCUGAACUUCUGCUCAAUAGAGUGAAUGGGCUUUUUGUUAGUGGACCACUUUUGCACUUUCUGUUCUCACUUAACCUACUGCGAGUGCUAAACAACUCAGUUUCAUGAAAUGGCAAGUCAAUAGCACUGGGGCCCAGUGAAUUGCUGGGAAGAAGCAUUGUGCUGAAUGUUUUGUAGGUUUUGUGUUCUGAUCUUGUAUUUAAUAUAUUGCAUUUUAAGUGAUAAGAUGAUGCCCAUUGCUUGUAUGCAAGUGUUCUUUUGUACUGUCCUUAAAAAAUCU